Transfer RNA from Tritrichomonas foetus, 73 nucleotides. It matches the Rfam family "tRNA". From Rfam's summary of the family: Transfer RNA (tRNA) molecules are approximately 80 nucleotides in length. NCBI's taxonomy places the organism in Eukaryota, Parabasalia, Tritrichomonadida, Tritrichomonadidae. The record is from Rfam.
GGUCUCGUAGCUCAGUCGGUAGAGCGUUGUGCUGAUAACGCAAAGGUCUAGGGUUCGAGUCCCUGCGGGACCA